Molecule: ribosomal RNA, 2108 nt
Filed under: uncultured Limnohabitans sp.
Lineage: Bacteria; Pseudomonadati; Pseudomonadota; Betaproteobacteria; Burkholderiales; Comamonadaceae
Description: partial 23S ribosomal RNA
Rfam family: Bacterial large subunit ribosomal RNA
Source: RNAcentral
AAAUAGAUCCUGAAACCGCAUGCUUACAAAAAGUAGGAGCCCGCAAGGGUGACUGCGUACCUUUUGUAUAAUGGGUCAGCGACUUACAUUCAGUGGCAAGGUUAACCGAGUAGGGAAGCCGUAGAGAAAUCGAGUCCGAGUAGGGCGUCAUAGUCGCUGGGUGUAGACCCGAAACCAAGUGAUCUAUCCAUGGCCAGGAUGAAGGUGCCGUAACAGGUACUGGAGGUCCGAACCGACUAAUGUUGCAAAAUUAGCGGAUGAGCUGUGGAUAGGGGUGAAAGGCUAAACAAACUUGGAAAUAGCUGGUUCUCUCCGAAAACUAUUUAGUAGUGCCUCAAGUAUUACCUGCGGGGGUAGAGCACUGUUUUGGCUAGGGGGUCAUGGCGACUUACCAAACCAAGGCAAACUCCGAAUACCGCAGAGUGCAGCUUGGGAGACAGAGCACCGGGUGCUAACGUCCGGGCUCAAGAGGGAAACAACCCAGACCGCCAGCUAAGGUCCCUAAAAUUGGCUAAGUGGGAAACGAAGUGGGAAGGCUAAAACAGUCAGGAUGUUGGCUUAGAAGCAGCCAUCAUUUAAAGAAAGCGUAAUAGCUCACUGAUCGAGUCGUCCUGCGCGGAAGAUGUAACGGGGCUAAGCCAGUUACCGAAGCUGCGGAUUUGCAAUUUAUUGCAAGUGGUAGGAGAGCGUUCUGUAAGCCUGUGAAGGUGUCUUGUAAAGGAUGCUGGAGGUAUCAGAAGUGCGAAUGCUGACAUGAGUAGCGUUAAAGGGGGUGAAAAGCCCCCUCGCCGUAAGCGCAAGGUUUUCUACGCAACGUUCAUCGGCGUAGAGUGAGUCGGCCCCUAAGGCGAGGCAGAGAUGCGUAGCUGAUGGGAAACAGGUCAAUAUUCCUGUACCGAUUACAAGUGCGAUGUGGGGACGGAGAAGGUUAGCUCAGCCAACUGUUGGAUAUGUUGGUUCAAGCCUGUAGUCGUGCCUGGUAGGCAAAUCCGCCGGGCUUAGAUGAGGGGUGAUAACGAGGGUGCUUGCACCCGAAGUGAGUGAUACCCUGCUUCCAGGAAAAGCCACUAAGCUUCAGCUUGUAACGACCGUACCGCAAACCGACACUGGUGCGCGAGAUGAGUAUUCUAAGGCGCUUGAGAGAACUCAGGAGAAGGAACUCGGCAAAUUGAUACCGUAACUUCGGGAGAAGGUAUGCCCCUAGUAGGUGAACUCGAACAGAGGGAGCCCAAUGGGGUUGCAAAAAACCGGUGGCUGCGACUGUUUAAUAAAAACACAGCACUCUGCAAACACGAAAGUGGACGUAUAGGGUGUGCCGCCUGCCCGGUGCUGGAAGAUUAAAUGAUGGGGUGCAAGCUCUUGACUGAAGUCCCAGUAAACGGCGGCCGUAACUAUAACGGUCCUAAGGUAGCGAAAUUCCUUGUCGGGUAAGUUCCGACCUGCACGAAUGGCGUAACGAUGGCCACACUGUCUCCUCCUGAGACUCAGCGAAGUUGAAAUGUUUGUGAUGAUGCAAUCUCCCCGCGGAAAGACGGAAAGACCCCAUGAACCUUUACUGUAGCUUUGUAUUGGACUUUGAACAGAUCUGUGUAGGAUAGGUGGGAGGCUUUGAAGCGUGGUCGCUAGACUGCGUGGAGCCAACGUUGAAAUACCACCCUGGUGUGUUUGAGGUUCUAACCUAAGUCCAUUAUCUGGAUCGGGGACAGUGCAUGGUAGGCAGUUUGACUGGGGCGGUCUCCUCCCAAAGUGUAACGGAGGAGUUCGAAGGUACGCUAGGUACGGUCGGACAUCGUGCUAAUAGUGCAAUGGCAUAAGCGUGCUUAACUGCGAGACUGACAAGUCGAGCAGAUACGAAAGUAGGACAUAGUGAUCCGGUGGUUCUGUAUGGAAGGGCCAUCGCUCAACGGAUAAAAGGUACUCUGGGGAUAACAGGCUGAUACCGCCCAAGAGUUCAUAUCGACGGCGGUGUUUGGCACCUCGAUGUCGGCUCAUCUCAUCCUGGGGCUGUAGCCGGUCCCAAGGGUAUGGCUGUUCGCCAUUUAAAGAGGUACGUGAGCUGGGUUUAAAACGUCGUGAGACAGUUUGGUCCCUAUCUUCCGUGGGCGCUG